Long non-coding RNA from Dreissena polymorpha, 791 nucleotides. RefSeq lists it as uncharacterized. The transcript has 3 exons. The record is from RefSeq and is a predicted model, not a curated record. Lineage: Eukaryota; Metazoa; Mollusca; Bivalvia; Myida; Dreissenidae.
GUUAGAUUAUAACAAUGUUGUGCAUAUGCAUUGGUUGCAUAUAUAAAGUUUCAUUUGCUGUUUUGGCAAGCGUAGCUUGAUGAAGGAAGUAAGUUCCGUAUAUAUUUGCGCUGAAAAACAGUUCAUUAAUAUUGUGUUUUUCACGUGAUAAGUUGCUGUACAAGAUGACGCCAUAUUGGUUUAUUGCCGUUGCUCUUCUAGGCUGUUUGGACAUUGCCAGUGCUAUUGAAAUGUAUGGGUUGAGCUACAACUACUUCGACGAGAUGGCAACAAAACUAUUGCGCUGCAAAGACUGAAGGCUGAGUUUUCAGUAUUAGGUGGGAUUGUUUUGGCGUAGCUCCAACAUGCAACGAAAUGUGUGCGUCAUCAAAGACCGACAUGUAUGGCUCCAUCGAAAAUAAAGUAACCAAAGCUGGCUGUUUCGAUGGAGUCUUCAUCAUAAAUAAUUCACAGACAACUACUGCCUAACCCAUCCAACUCGCAGCCGGAUUCAGGAAAAUCCAGUCUGAUUAUAUGUGAUUAUGGUUCCGGCGCAUGUACCUCGGGCCUUAACCACUGUAGACCGAACUAUUGCUGUUGUAAAGGGGAUUGGAAAAAAAAGUUUUGAAAUAUAUUCGAAAGAGUUAAGAUCAGUUUUGAUACUGGUAUAUUCACAGUCAAAGAAAAUGAGAAAAAAUAACGAAUUACAGAACAAGAUGCUUGCAUAAAUAUUGUAAUAAUUGUAUGUUGUUUUAAUGUACCUUUUUAAUGUAAACUGAAAGUAAUAAUGAAUGUAAAUAUUGGAAAUUUUA